AUGGAUAAUAGGCAAAUCCACAUCAAUCUUAGAGGGCGUUUGGAUACGUGCAUUUCAUUUCAAAUGAUGGAUUUUAAAUGACAGGAUUUGAGUUGUCAUUUCAAACUAUCAGCUUUAUACUAAUAUUUGAAUGUCCUGGAUUUCAAAUGAAAUCCAAAUCUAUAUUCCCAAACAGAUUAUGUGUUCAAAUUCAGAAUUUCAAAUGAAAUCCAGGUUCCCAAACGGACCAUGAAGUAAAUUACUCUGAUUAAUUCGAAAUUUACCCUAAUAUUCAAGUACUACGACACAUGUAUAUUCAUAAGACCUUAGAUUCCAAUUCUAAAUAUCUAUUAAUAUCCCCAGCCAAAAUUAUUUCAUCAGCAAACCAAGAUAUACCUCUUCACUUAACAUGUCGAAAACAAGAGUACAGGGGAAUGCGAGAUGCAUAACAGCCCUUGUAUACAAAAUUCACACGCGCAAGUCAGUUAUAUAUAUAGCCAAUAAUAGGCAACACUAAACUAAAAGAAUUUAGGUCUUUAGCAGGCUCACUUUCAAUCUUUCAGUCUAUCCAACAAAUUAAAAAUAUUUAAAUUAAUAAAAUAGCAACUAACUCUUGGUUCAGCGGUAUCUACCUUGCUUCCUUUACCGGAUGUCGAGGGUUCGAUCCUUCUCAAAGACAAAACGAGUGUGUGCGUGGGUUUAAUCAUCAAAACAAUAACCAGCAUCACAAAUCGACUAUGUAGGUAAAUCCUCUUAACAGUUAAUGACGAAUAAUAUAAAGUUCUAAGUUGUGGUGCUUAAAUAAUCGCCCAUUUAGUUAAACCUAUCCUUCAACUGCUUUUAACCAAUAGAUGUAAUAUUUCGGAAUGGGGGAUCUUUGCUGAUUGCAGUUUUGGAUAUUAUAUUCAAAGGGAUCAAAUAAUUCAGAACCAAACCAGAUUCCAAAACAUUCCGUAUUAGUACACCAAGAAUACCUAUACUAUUCUAGUGUUCUUAUCCACUAAAAUCAACAAGAGUUAUCAUAAAGACACAACAAGUAAAAAUUCGGAGAAACAGCUACAAUCCCAUGAAGAAAUUGGCCUAGUCAGUAUGACCCCAGAUUCAUCCUAGCGAUCUCCAAAAUUANUUCCUCCCACCUCACACACUUAAGAAUACCUCAUGCACCAUUGGAAAUGACAAACAUUGAAACAACCAAGGAAGCACAUGGAUAAUAGGCAAAUCCACAUCAAUCUUAGAGGGCGUUUGGAUACGUGCAUUUCAUUUCAAAUGAUGGAUUUUAAAUGACAGGAUUUGAGUUGUCAUUUCAAACUAUCAGCUUUAUACUAAUAUUUGAAUGUCCUGGAUUUCAAAUGAAAUCCAAAUCUAUAUUCCCAAACAGAUUAUGUGUUCAAAUUCAGAAUUUCAAAUGAAAUCCAGGUUCCCAAACGGACCAUGAAGUAAAUUACUCUGAUUAAUUCGAAAUUUACCCUAAUAUUCAAGUACUACGACACAUGUAUAUUCAUAAGACCUUAGAUUCCAAUUCUAAAUAUCUAUUAAUAUCCCCAGCCAAAAUUAUUUCAUCAGCAAACCAAGAUAUACCUCUUCACUUAACAUGUCGAAAACAAGAGUACAGGGGAAUGCGAGAUGCAUAACAGCCCUUGUAUACAAAAUUCACACGCGCAAGUCAGUUAUAUAUAUAGCCAAUAAUAGGCAACACUAAACUAAAAGAAUUUAGGUCUUUAGCAGGCUCACUUUCAAUCUUUCAGUCUAUCCAACAAAUUAAAAAUAUUUAAAUUAAUAAAAUAGCAACUAACUCUUGGUUCAGCGGUAUCUACCUUGCUUCCUUUACCGGAUGUCGAGGGUUCGAUCCUUCUCAAAGACAAAACGAGUGUGUGCGUGGGUUUAAUCAUCAAAACAAUAACCAGCAUCACAAAUCGACUAUGUAGGUAAAUCCUCUUAACAGUUAAUGACGAAUAAUAUAAAGUUCUAAGUUGUGGUGCUUAAAUAAUCGCCCAUUUAGUUAAACCUAUCCUUCAACUGCUUUUAACCAAUAGAUGUAAUAUUUCGGAAUGGGGGAUCUUUGCUGAUUGCAGUUUUGGAUAUUAUAUUCAAAGGGAUCAAAUAAUUCAGAACCAAACCAGAUUCCAAAACAUUCCGUAUUAGUACACCAAGAAUACCUAUACUAUUCUAGUGUUCUUAUCCACUAAAAUCAACAAGAGUUAUCAUAAAGACACAACAAGUAAAAAUUCGGAGAAACAGCUACAAUCCCAUGAAGAAAUUGGCCUAGUCAGUAUGACCCCAGAUUCAUCCUAGCGAUCUCCAAAAUUAAAGCCAGGCUCAUUUCUAGCAACCCCAAAGGCUGAACUUGUACCAUCCGAAGCCAGGCUCAUUUCUAGCAACCCCAAAGGCUGAACUUGUACCAUCCGAAGCCAGGCUCAUUUCUAGCAACCCCAAAGGCUGAACUUGUACCAUCCGAAAUCACACGAGGAAAUAGACAUACAGCUCCCUUUAAGGCAAAAAUCAAGUCUAGUACUCUAACAGAUAAAUCAAGUGUGCAUUAAAACAUAACCCUUAAAAAUUAGCAUAAUCAGUAAGUAAUAAAACAUAAUGUGCAAAUGACCAGGGGAGGAUCUAGUAAAGGGCACAGGCAAUGUGCCCUUUUAAACAAAAUUGACGCUUUUUCGCCAUUAUAGAUUUUAAUAAAAUAUAGAAGUGUCCGCAUAAAAGUUAACAUAAGGGUGCCUUCCAAAACUUUACUUAUUGCUCCCCGGGGCCCAAAAAUAAAAUUCUAGAUCCGCCCCUGCAAAUUAGCAAAGCAACUAAUACAAGUCAUUGAGAUAAACCAUGACUUUUGUAAUAUUUUACUGAUAAUACAUAAAAGCAAUUAAAUAUAAAAAAUGCAACUGUUAACACAAAAGGCAAUCGAAGAUGUUUUAAGAUGGACAGAAGCAAAGUACAUAUACACUGUACAAUUAUAUUGUUUUUUUAAUAAAAAUAAAAUGAAUUAAUAUAUAUGGUGCAACACCCCCUCCCUUUCGAUUUUGAUGGGAGUAAAAAAGAAGUCGGGUGUGAGUUAUCAGUACAAUACAUGCGUACUGAACAUCACAUACUUUACAUGUAAAUGUAAGCGUAUCAUAGAUAU
This 3100-nucleotide long non-coding RNA is filed under the name Daucus carota (carrot). Its description in RNAcentral is "long non-coding RNA (DCAR_LNC000119)". Lineage: Eukaryota; Viridiplantae; Streptophyta; Magnoliopsida; Apiales; Apiaceae. The record is from RNAcentral.